UUAGAUAGCUUGUUGCAAGUAGUAAAUAAGUUGGGUUACUUGGUUAAUAUAAUUUUAUAUUGAAGUUCAUGUGAAAAGUAAUGCUAUAUAGUAAUACAACAUAGACCAAAAUAUAGGAGACAUAUGACGAUUAUUAGAACAAGUUGAGUGUGAAACCGUCGUACCAGAUUGCAUGCAAAUAAGGUGAGAAAAUAGCUGGGCAUUAACAACACUGAGCAAUGUAUACAGAAGAGCGAACUGAUGCAGGUUGGGUGAAAAAGUGCUGUGAUCUGGCAUUAAAAGUAUUCUUUAUAAAAGUAGACCAAGAACAUUGAAAAGAACUGUAGAACUAUCCAAAACAAAAUGACAGAGAAGAGCAGAAAACAUGAUAGGAUGCUUGGUUACCAGCACACAUUUUGGUUACCAGUCACAUCUUUCCACCAGCAGUGCACAAGACUUGUAGCUAAAACAAUAAUCAACAAUUGAGCCGAUGUAGUUGUACAUACACACCACAGUAAACACAACACACUGUGGGGACCAUGUAUAUCACAGUAAACAUAAUACAAUGGGGACAGGCUGAUCAGUCAACAGCGAAAAAAAAAAAAAAAUUACAACCACAACUUAAAUCAACAGGGCAGCAUACAGCUACAGCCCUGACAGCCGCUCUAAACGUUAGGCCUCACUAUACCCGGUGUAAGCACGUCCUUAAUAUAAUUGGGACUGUAUCUCAUAUGCUGGCCCUUCUUUUCAGGGUUAGAAAAUACUUCAGCACCAAAAAUUUACUGACACUGGUGAGACUCAUAAUGGAUUAUUGUUCCCUGGGGAGGGGUUAGGGUUAGGAGAGGACUAAAAAAAAAACCCACUUUAAUUUCACAUGAAUUGUUUUGUCAUAUUAUUGAGAGAAGUUACUCUGUAAGAAAUCUUUGCAGAAAGAUAAACUAACAUCCGACUGUUCAAAGAUUUCCUAAGUAACUAAUAGCAACUUCUUUUGAAAUGGAUAAAAUUUGGCAUCAUGACGUUAUCAAGUACCUGCAGGAAAAGGAUUUAGUCCUCAAGAACAUUCAUGUUGACAUUGUUGCUACAUGAGGGGAUAACGCUCUCGCUUUACCAAUUGAGCAAAAGUGGGCAGCUGAAUUUAAGAGGGAUAGGAGAGUCUUGAAGAUGUCACCCAUCAAGGAAAACAUUGACUGUGUUCACCACAUGGUGAUGGAUGACAGACAAUUGACUAUAAACCAAAUAGCCAAUGCUACUAGCAUAUCCUGUGAGAAAAUUGAGGAUAUUCUACACAAUGAACUUAGCAUAACAAAGGCUUCUACCGGAUGGGUACCAUGUCUUAUGACACCUGAUCAAAAGCACACCAGGCUGAUCAUAUCACAGGAAAAUCUGACAUUACAUGCAGUGGAAACUUUCCCUCCUUACCUGCUCUAAAAAAGACCAAGGUUGUUUCCUCAGCAGAGAAGGUACUGAGAAGAUGAGAAAUUUGUUUCUGGACAGGAGGAUACACAGCUACUAUCACAACUACUUUUACUUAAGAGAGAUCAGUACUGCAAGCUAAUAAAUCAUGUGACCAUUUUACAGUGCUACCAUUGGUUGCAACCAUAUAUUGUUCCUUUCAAUGGUGGUCAAUUAGAGCUAAGUAUUAUAACUACAAACAAGCACAACAGAGUUGUAAAGAAACAAUAUAAGUCAUUACUGUGUCAGCUGGUUGCUUAAUAGCCUACUAAUUUUGUCUUUCAGACAUGUUGAUAAUACUUAACUCGGAAUAAAUUCCCCAUGCUAGAACCAGAACUGAAACAAAGCAAAAAAGCAACACACACACACACACACACACACAGACUAAUUAACCUACCUCUA
This is a long non-coding RNA of Octopus bimaculoides (California two-spot octopus), 1833 nucleotides long. The record is from RefSeq and is a predicted model, not a curated record. NCBI's taxonomy places the organism in Eukaryota, Metazoa, Mollusca, Cephalopoda, Octopoda, Octopodidae.